This is a long non-coding RNA of Tyto alba (common barn owl), 1293 nucleotides long. RefSeq lists it as uncharacterized. The transcript is spliced from 5 exons. The record is from RefSeq and is a predicted model, not a curated record. Lineage: Eukaryota; Metazoa; Chordata; Aves; Strigiformes; Tytonidae.
CGAGGAGCUGCCGCUCCGCCCGCAGCGACCCCGCCGCCGCCGCCUCUAGCGCAGCCCGCCCGCCCCGCCUCCCCGGCGCCGAGUGACCGCAAGGACUCGACGGAGGUUGCAGGCUCGAACUCGGACGAGGCUAGCAUACCACAGCCGCGGCGGGAAGGGACGAGGCCCGGCGGCGGGCCUGGCAUCCGCUGCCCACCAACCGGGGGCCCCUGGUCGGCCGGAGCUGGGCAGAGCGAGACCUGGCCGGCGGGAGCAGGGAAUAGUGGAAAGUGUUUUGGAAAUGAAAUAGUCUACAGUUAUGAAAGUACAAUGUAUGUGUGUCCACACCUAGGAACAAAUCAAAGUGGAAGGCUUAGAUGCUAUUCUGGUGGUACAGCUGUCCCUGAGACACAACCUCAUGAGGCUGAAGAACACAGUGAGGAAGAAGGGCCUCAGAUAAUGAGGAAAAAAACUUUUUAAAUGCCCUUGAUGUGCUUUACAUCUUCAGUGGUCAAGAUACAGAAUAAGAGAUGGCUGAAUGGAAGCUAGAACACAGCAGAUAGCUGGUUGGUGACAACCUAACAGACAUGAGAGAAGAUACAUGUGAGAUGAAAAUCAUCUUCUACAGCAGCAGUCCCAGGUGGACUGUUGUGAUUUACAGAGCAAUCAAGACUGUAGGAACCAGUGACUGACACCCUGCCACUGACCUGAUCUUUGUCUCUAAGAGCAACUGGCAGCAGAAAAGAAGGUAGUUUGUUACUCUGGAACAGCCUUUGAACAUAUAUUACUGUUCUCAAAGAUACCCAGGAUCAUUCUUCUCCUCAUGUAAUAUUUGGUGCCUGAAAGUGAAGUUUUCCAGAGAGGACAGUCAACUCGUAGAGAUAUAAAGGAGAAGAACGGCUGCUAUGAUGUGACUUUUGGUAAUGAGCAUGUUUACUGCCAGCACCUGCAUGAGAAAGUGAUGUGUCAUUGUGGAUCUAAUGAAAUACCUUACAAUAUUUUGUGUAUCUUUAACUCCUAUGUCAUGGAUUACAUGGAUGUAUCAUCUUCCAUUCAAAGUUUCCAGCUACAAAUAAAAGCUUGUGAUUUUGAACCUUAAAACCUUAGGUCAGAGGGCAAGUAAAAAGUACUGUAUUUGAAAUUAAGUUUUAAUUUUUACAAUUAUAUGUCAGUACAAAUAAUUGUUAGCAUUAUUGCUUCCACCUUUACAUUUAGUUAGUUUUCAAAUCAAUGCUUAUCCCUGUUGCAGCUGUACUAACUGGUACUGAGUACCAGUACUGGUUAAAAAGUAACGCUUCAAAAAAAACAACAAUA